AUUGAACGCUGGCGGCAGGCCUAACACAUGCAAGUCGAGCGGACGAAGGGAGCUUUCUCCUGUCUUCCGCGGCGGACGGGUGAGUAAUGCCUAGGAAUCUGCCUGGUAGUGGGGGAUAACGUCCGGACACGGGCCCUAAUACCGCAUCCGUCCUGAGGGUGAAAGUCGUGGUUCUUCGGACCUCACGCUAUCAGAUGAGCCUAGGUCGGAUUAGCUAGUUGGUGGGGUAAAGGCCUACCGAGGCGACGAUCCGUAACUGGUCUGAGAGGAUGAUCAGUCACACUGGAACUGAGACACGGUCCAGACUCCUACGGGAGGCAGCAGUGGGGAAUAUUGGACAAUGGGCGAAAGCCUGAUCCAGCCAUGCCGCGUGUGUGAAGAAGGUCUUCGGAUUGUAAAGCACUUUAAGUUGGGAGGAAGGGCAGUAAGUUAAUACCUUGCUGUUUUGACGUUACCAACAGAAUAAGCACCGGCUAACUUCGUG
This 484-nucleotide ribosomal RNA is filed under the name uncultured bacterium. RNAcentral's name for it is "partial 16S ribosomal RNA". It matches the Rfam family "Bacterial small subunit ribosomal RNA", at positions 30 to 507 of the family's 1533-position model. The record is from RNAcentral.